GUCCAGCUCAUCUCGUAACGCUCAUCAUCUGCUAUAGUGAGUUGUCUAUGCUAUACUCUUAUGAGUCUUUCAACAGUAACCAAGCCUGAAACUGAUCUGCGGUCCGUGCCAGCCGUUAUCAAUGAUGUCUACUGAGCUGGGGCAUUGUGGGACUGAUUGUUGUGGCUGGAGAAAGAGGCAAAAGAGACUUGAGCCAAGCCCCAAGUCAAGUUAGGCGUUUGCAAUUCCUCCAUUUUCAAUGAGCAGAAGCAAGGUCAAACCGCACUUCCUCAGUACAUCUUUCAAAUAGUUUUUGUAUAUUUAUUCAAUCUCACAAUUAUAUUAAGGCUUCAUUAGUUUUAGUGCUUUGCUCAUCAACCCACUGGUGCCUUGCAAUGUCACUUUUACAUUUAUAUUGGAUUUAUACAGCAAUAUUCCCAUCACAACACAAAAGUCUGGUCAUAUUCGCAAAAUGUUGUGGUCAAACCGGCUAAUUUGAGUGAACGUUGUGAAAUCUGCCUAAGGCAAUCUUACGCCCUCAGCACAAAUAACUGCAUUUUGCAAGAAAAAAAUUCAUCGUUGGUAAAUGUUACCAUGCCUUAAGUCAAAUAUCCCAGUCACUCAGAAGUUGGCAG
Long non-coding RNA from Carassius carassius (crucian carp), 614 nucleotides. RefSeq lists it as uncharacterized. The record is from RefSeq and is a predicted model, not a curated record. The transcript is spliced from 3 exons. Lineage: Eukaryota; Metazoa; Chordata; Actinopteri; Cypriniformes; Cyprinidae.